Molecule: long non-coding RNA, 1217 nt
Organism: Patiria miniata (bat star)
Lineage: Eukaryota; Metazoa; Echinodermata; Asteroidea; Valvatida; Asterinidae
Exons: 2
Source: RefSeq, a predicted model, not a curated record
GUAUUAUUUUAUAUGACUGUGUUUACUAUUUGCAUAAUUUCCCUUUUCUAAUCUUUUAAAAUGUUUCAUCUUUUCUACUGGUGACUUGUGUUCCAGUAGACCUUUGAUCUUUUCCUACUUUUGUUAAAGCCUGUCUUUGAUCUUGCCCACUUCCUGGAAGAAUAGAGGAUGUCUUUUGUGUCCUCUGCCUUUUAUUACUGACUGGUGCCCCAGUUGUGUACUCCUCCAGGAGCUGAGCAGGAUGUAGGGACACUUAAUCCCUGGUUGUUGAUCACACCUUGCAGAAGCUGUGAAAACCACAAACUCUGCUGAGUGUUCAUCUGCCUGGUUACUAAAUGACCAAUCGGCAUUAGAGUCUUGUGUGACAAUUUGAAGUUUGACCAAUGAGAGCCUGGCUAGUCAUGUGUUCAGGGCAUGGUCUUGGUGCUAGCUGCCCCAAAAUUUUAGCAGAGCUUGGCAUUCCUGAUUCUGCCACCGUGCUGACUGCAUGCCUACCAUUUUCACCAGCCAUUUUGCAUCAUUUUGUUGUUCGAUUGGAGGAUCCUGAUUCCAAGUUCCCUCCUUUUUGCACGAAUGUUGGCUCUCUGUUUUAGGCUAAAAAGACUGGACCAUGUCACUUCAAGGGAGACCUAGACGGGACUGUCUGAAUGUUCCCCGAUCUGCCCGCCUGACACCCUCUUACGUGCUCCAGUGAGUCGGAGACCCGUCACUAUCAAUGACGUCCAAGACCAAGACGUCCGAGCAACCCAGCUCCACCCAAGAUCCUUGAUAUCCGAGUGACCAAGUCUUCCAAGAAAACCCAGCUCUACCAUAGACACAACAACCAGCACUGCCCUAGACACAGCCACAUCAUCUAUCAAGACUCCGCAAGUAUAUCUUUGUUUUACUGUACCGACAAAUGACGAGAGUUGUCAUUUCUACUUCAUCUUCAACUGAACCCUUCGUCUACUAGUCUACUUACAUCGUUCUUCAAUUAUCUUCAAGUUCUUCUACACACUAUGAUGGACUCCGAACUACCGCGGAUGGACGAAUCGCGAGUCUAACCAUUUUAUAGUUUGGCGCCUUUUUUUUCUGAGCUCUAGCUUUGUAUUUUAAAUCUUACAGGAUCCUGUGUUUUCUGUGAAUUAUACUUAACCUCACUGCAUUUUCAUUUGUAUGGCCAUUGCUUGAGACCACUUUAUUUCUGGCAAUAAAACAUAUUUCAUUGUGUACGUAAA